AUCGCUUCUCGGCCUUUUGGCUAAGAUCAAGUGUGUGUGUGUAGAAUAAAUUUUACUCUUUAGUGUAUUCAGCUUAAAGGUGGACCCUGUGCUGUUGUGUUUGAUCUUAUCUGCUCCGUUUUCAUAAGAAUUUGUAACCCAAC
This is a non-coding RNA of Podarcis lilfordi (Lilford's wall lizard), 143 nucleotides long. Lineage: Eukaryota; Metazoa; Chordata; Lepidosauria; Squamata; Lacertidae. The record is from the annotation of a GenBank genome assembly.